CUCACCAGGGCUCCUCAGUUCAGUUCAGCAUGAAGCUCCCUGCUCAGCUCCUGGGGCUGCUGAUGCUCUGGAUCCCUGGAUCUAGUGGGGAUGUUGUGAUGACCCAGACUCCACUCUCCCUGUCCAUUGCCCCUGGACAGCCGGCCUCCAUCUCCUGCAGGUCCAGUCAGAGCCUCCUGCAUAGUAAUGGAGACACCUAUUUGGAUUGGUACCUGCAGAAGCCAGGCCAGUCUCCACAGCUCCUGAUUUAUGAAGUUUCCAACAGGGCCUCUGGGGUCUCAGACAGGUUCAGUGGCAGUGGGUCAGGGACAGAUUUCACCCUGAAAAUCAGCCGGGUGCAGGCUGAGGAUGCUGGAGUUUAUUACUGCAUGCAAGCUACACAUGAUCCUCCCACAGUGAUACAGCCCCGUACACAAACCCCUCACCAAGGAGGCCCAGCUGCCCUUGUGUGUUGCUUGUCAGGGAGCAGCACAGCAAAGUCUCCAGUCUACACAACAGGAAGAUGCUGGAGUUCUCAGGGUAACAGGUGUUCUUGAGAGCUCUGGACCAUGAGU
Chinchilla lanigera (long-tailed chinchilla) is the source of this 554-nucleotide non-coding RNA. The record is from the annotation of a RefSeq genome assembly. NCBI's taxonomy places the organism in Eukaryota, Metazoa, Chordata, Mammalia, Rodentia, Chinchillidae.